GACGAACGCUGGCGGCGUGCCUAAUACAUGCAAGUAGAACGCUGAAGAGAGGAGCUUGCUCUUCUUGGAUGAGUUGCGAACGGGUGAGUAACGCGUAGGUAACCUGCCUGGUAGCGGGGGAUAACUAUUGGAAACGAUAGCUAAUACCGCAUAAAAUUGAUUAUUGCAUGAUAAUUAAUUGAAAGAUGCAAUUGCAUCACUACCAGAUGGACCUGCGUUGUAUUAGCUAGUUGGUGAGGUAACGGCUCACCAAGGCGACGAUACAUAGCCGACCUGAGAGGGUGAUCGGCCACACUGGGACUGAGACACGGCCCAGACUCCUACGGGAGGCAGCAGUAGGGAAUCUUCGGCAAUGGGGGGAACCCUGACCGAGCAACGCCGCGUGAGUGAAGAAGGUUUUCGGAUCGUAAAGCUCUGUUGUAAGAGAAGAACGGGUGUGAGAGUGGAAA
RNAcentral lists this ribosomal RNA (449 nucleotides) under Streptococcus sanguinis. RNAcentral's name for it is "bacterial SSU rRNA". It matches the Rfam family "Bacterial small subunit ribosomal RNA", at positions 28 to 464 of the family's 1533-position model. The record is from RNAcentral. Lineage: Bacteria; Bacillati; Bacillota; Bacilli; Lactobacillales; Streptococcaceae.